This 681-nucleotide long non-coding RNA is filed under the name Aedes aegypti (yellow fever mosquito). Its description in RNAcentral is "lncRNA AAEL025077". Lineage: Eukaryota; Metazoa; Arthropoda; Insecta; Diptera; Culicidae. The record is from RNAcentral.
GUCAUAUGAAUAAAACCGAGCAUUUGCUCAUGCUCAACCUGGUUUAAGUAAAGUAAAGUCUUUGAGCAUUUACUCAAAACCGUAUGAAUAAAACUAUACUUUACUCAGAGUAAGUUCGAAAUUCGAACAUAGCUUUUACUCUGUCAAAAAUGUUGUUUUUGUUUUGGUUAUCCGAUUGCUGAUUUCGCAAAAAUAAAAAUCCAGUAGUGCUUUGGCGGAUCUUUUGCCAUGCUAGGGAAAAAGUGUGAGUUGCUUGAUUUGCUGCCGCUUGCUGAUGCACACCCUGGCGGAACAUAUUUAUUAGCAUCACGCCUACCGGGGAAGCGUCGGUGAACGCAGAAAAAUCGCCUACCGGGGAAGCGUCGGUGAACGCAGGACACUAGUACACCAGCAAGGACUACAAAUUGGUGCUUGGAGAACACCCAACCGGUCCGCUCGCUACGCCCUCAGUGGAGAACAGAUGGCAAUGCCCUUCAACAGAAUCGGUGUCCAAGUGAAAGGCCACGGUGACGCCAUUCAGAACCCCAGCGGAGUCGAUUGAACGGUCGACAAGUUUCAGCAAUGGAAAGAAAGGAAAACAAACGAUCUGUCCUGAGUGGGUUCGCGAUGCAGGCUACCGGAUUGAGGGACCACAUCCCCACUUGGCUGUUAAAGAAAUGAAUAAACUGUUAACAUAUCCUA